This 670-nucleotide ribosomal RNA is filed under the name uncultured fungus. RNAcentral describes it as "SSU rRNA". It matches the Rfam family "Eukaryotic small subunit ribosomal RNA", at positions 260 to 943 of the family's 1831-position model. The record is from RNAcentral. Lineage: Eukaryota; Fungi.
GAAUCGCAUGCUUGUGCCGGCGAUGGUCAUUCAAAUUUCUGCCCUAUCAACUUUCGAUUGUAGAGUAGUGGUCUACAAUGGUUGCAAGCGGGUAACGGGGAAUUAGGGUUCUAUUCCGGAGAGGGAGCCUGAGAAACGGCUACCACAUCCAAGGAAGGCAGCAGGCGCGCAAAUUACCCAAUCCCGACACGGGGAGGUAGUGACAAUAAAUACUGAUACAGGGCUCUUUUGGGUCUUGUAAUUGGAAUGAGUACAAUUUAAAUCCCUUAACGAGGAACAAUUGGAGGGCAAGUCUGGUGCCAGCAGCCGCGGUAAUUCCAGCUCCAAUAGCGUAUAUUAAAGUUGUUGCAGUUAAAAAGCUCGUAGUUGAAUUUUAGGCUUGGUUAGACGGUCGCCCUUUGGGGUUUGUACUGUCCGGCCGGGCCUUACCUUCUGGUGAGCUGUCGUGUUGUUUACUCAGCGCGGCAGGGAACCAGGACUUUUACUUUGAAAAAAUUAGAGUGUUUAAAGCAGGCUUUCGCCUGAAUACAUUAGCAUGGAAUAAUAAAAUAGGACUUUGGUUCUAUUUGUUGGUUUCUAGGACCGAAGUAAUGAUUAAUAGGGAUAGUUGGGGGCAUUAGUAUUUAAAUUGUCAGAGGUGAAAUUCUUGGAUUUAUUAAAGACUAAUUCU